GGCCUUGUGGCGCAACGGUAGCGCGUCUGACUCCAGAUCAGAAAGUUGCGUGUUCAUAUCACGUCAAGGUCA
RNAcentral lists this transfer RNA (72 nucleotides) under Gadus morhua (Atlantic cod). RNAcentral describes it as "tRNA-Trp (CCA) (tRNA-Trp-CCA-14-1)". It matches the Rfam family "tRNA". From Rfam's summary of the family: Transfer RNA (tRNA) molecules are approximately 80 nucleotides in length. Their secondary structure includes four short double-helical elements and three loops (D, anti-codon, and T loops). Further hydrogen bonds mediate the characteristic L-shaped molecular structure. tRNAs have two regions of fundamental functional importance: the anti-codon, which is responsible for specific mRNA codon recognition, and the 3' end, to which the tRNAs corresponding amino acid is attached (by aminoacyl-tRNA synthetases). tRNAs cope with the degeneracy of the genetic code in two manners: having more than one tRNA (with a specific anti-codon) for a particular amino acid; and 'wobble' base-pairing, i.e. permitting non-standard base-pairing at the 3rd anti-codon position. The record is from Rfam by way of RNAcentral. Lineage: Eukaryota; Metazoa; Chordata; Actinopteri; Gadiformes; Gadidae.